Molecule: ribosomal RNA, 219 nt
Filed under: uncultured beta proteobacterium
Lineage: Bacteria; Pseudomonadati; Pseudomonadota; Betaproteobacteria
Description: partial 16S ribosomal RNA
Rfam family: Bacterial small subunit ribosomal RNA
Source: RNAcentral
AAGAAUAAGCACCGGCUAACUACGUGCCAGCAGCCGCGGUAAUACGUAGGGUGCAAGCGUUAAUCGGAAUUACUGGGCGUAAAGCGUGCGCAGGCGGUUUUGUAAGUCUGACGUGAAAUCCCCGGGCUCAACCUGGGAAUGGCAUUGGAGACUGCAAAGCUAGAGUUUGGCAGAGGGGGGUGGAAUUCCACGUGUAGCAGUGAAAUGCGUAGAUAUGUG